UGAGGAAUAUUGGUCAAUGGACGCGAGUCUGAACCAGCCAAGUAGCGUGAAGGAUGACUGCCCUAUGGGUUGUAAACUUCUUUUAUAUGGGAAUAAAGUGGUCCACGUGUGGACUUUUGUAUGUACCAUAUGAAUAAGGAUCGGCUAACUCCGUGCCAGCAGCCGCGGUAAUACGGAGGAUCCGAGCGUUAUCCGGAUUUAUUGGGUUUAAAGGGAGCGUAGGCGGAUUGUUAAGUCAGUUGUGAAAGUUUGCGGCUCAACCGUAAAAUUGCAGUUGAUACUGGCAGUCUUGAGUGCAGUAGAGGUGGGCGGAAUUCGUGGUGUAGCGGUGAAAUGCUUAGAUAUCACGAAGAACUCCGAUUGCGAAGGCAGCUCACUGGACUGCAACUGACACUGAUGCUCGAAAGUGUGGGUAUCAAACAGGAUUAGAUACCCUGGUAGUCCACACGGUAAACGAUGAAUACUCACUGUUUGCGAUAUACUGCAAGCGGCCAAGCGAAAGCGUUAAGUAUUCCACCUGGGGAGUACGCCGGCAACGGUGAAACUCAAAGGAAUUGACGGGGGCCCGCACAAGCGGAGGAACAUGUGGUUUAAUUCGAUGAUACGCGAGGAACCUUACCCGGGCUUAAAUUGCAGAUGAAUUACGGUGAAAGCCGUAAGCCGCAAGGCAUCUGUGAAGGUGCUGCAUGGUUGUCGUCAGCUCGUGCCGUGAGGUGUCGGCUUAAGUGCCAUAACGAGCGCAACCCUUGUUGUCAGUUACUAACAGGUUCCGCUGAGGACUCUGACAAGACUGCCAUCGUAAGAUGUGAGGAAGGUGGGGAUGACGUCAAAUCAGCACGGCCCUUACGUCCGGGGCUACACACGUGUUACAAUGGGGGGUACAGAGGGCCGCUACCACGCGAGUGGAUGCCAAUCCCCAAAACCUCUCUCAGUUCGGACUGGAGUCUGCAACCCGACUCCACGAAGCUGGAUUCGCUAGUAAUCGCGCAUCAGCCACGGCGCGGUGAAUACGUUCCC
This 1017-nucleotide ribosomal RNA is filed under the name uncultured bacterium. Its description in RNAcentral is "bacterial SSU rRNA". It matches the Rfam family "Bacterial small subunit ribosomal RNA", at positions 355 to 1375 of the family's 1533-position model. The record is from RNAcentral.